GAUGAACGCUGGCGGCGUGCCUAAUACAUGCAAGUCGAGCGAACGGACGAGAAGCUUGCUUUUCUGAUGUUAGCGGCGGACGGGUGAGUAACACGUGGAUAACCUACCUAUAAGUCUGGGAUAACUUCGGGAAACCGGAGCUAAUACCGGAUAAUAUUUUGAACCGCAUGGUUCAAAAGUGAAAGACGGUCUUGCUGUCACUUAUAGAUGGAUCCGGGCUGCAUUAGCUAGUUGGUAAGGUAACGGCUUACCAAGGCAACGAUGCAUUGCCGACCUGAGAGGGGGAUCGGCCACACUGGAACUGGGACACGGUCAAGACUCCUACGGGAGGCAGCAGUAGGGAAUCUGCCGCAAUGGGCGAAAGCCUGACGGAGCAACGCCGCGUGAGUGAUGAAGGUCUUCGGAUCGUAAAACUCUGUUAUUAGGGAAGAACAUAUGUGUAAGUAACUGUGCACAUCUUGACGGUACCUAAUCAGAAAGCCACGGCUAACUACGUG
This 497-nucleotide ribosomal RNA is filed under the name uncultured bacterium. Its description in RNAcentral is "partial 16S ribosomal RNA". It matches the Rfam family "Bacterial small subunit ribosomal RNA", at positions 28 to 507 of the family's 1533-position model. The record is from RNAcentral.